GGAUUGGGAGGGUUCUACGGAACCCGUUUGGUGAAUCUAGUGCCGAGAAAAGCCUUCUAUGUGUUGAAUUUCUAGUACCCGUACCCCAAACCGACACAGGUGGGUGGGUAGAGCAUACCUAGGGGCGCGUGAUAACUCUCUCUAAGGAACUCGGCAAAAUGGCCCUGUAACUUCGGGAUAAGGGGUGCCUGCGUGAGCAGGCCGCAGUGAAAUGGCUCUGGCGACUGUUUACCAAAAACACAGGUCUCUGCUAAGUCGUAAGACGAUGUAUAGGGGCUGACUCCUGCCCAGUGCCGGAAGGUUAAGGAAGUUGGUUAGCGCAAGCGAAGCUGGCGACCGAAGCCCCGGUGAACGGCGGCCGUAACAAUAACGGUCCUAAGGUAGCGAAAUUCCUUGUCGGGUAAGUUCCGACCCGCACGAAAGGAGUAACGAUCAGAGCGCUGUCUCGGAGAGAGACACGGCGAAAUAGGAUUGUCCGUGAAGAUACGGACUACCUGCACCCGGACAGAAAGACCCUAUGAAGCUUUACUGUAACUUGGAAUUGUGUUCGGACUUUGUCUGCGCAGAAUAGGUGGGAGGCUAUGAAACGUUCCUCGCGGGGAACUGGAGCCAUCGUUGAGAUACCACUCUGGCAGAGUCUGGAUUCUAACCUACGGGGACAGUUCCAGGUGGGCAGUUUGACUGGGGCGGUCGCCUCCUAAAAUGUAACGGAGGCGCGCAAAGGUUCCCUCAGGCUGGUUGGAAAUCAGCCAUAGAGUGUAAAAGCAUAAGGGAGCUUGACUGUGAGACCUACAAGUCGAGCAGGGACGAAAGUCGGCUUUAGUGAUCCGACGGCACUGAGUGGAAGGGCCGUCGCUCAACGGAUAAAAGUUACUCUAAGGAUAACAGGCUGAUCUCCCCCAAGAGUUCACAUCGACGGGGAGGUUUGGCACCUCGAUGUCGGCUCGUCGCAACCUGGGGCGGUAGUACGUCCCAAGGGUUGGGCUGUUCGCCCAUUAAAGCGGCACGUGAGCUGGGUUCAGAACGUCGUGAGACAGUUCGGUCCAUAUCCGGUGUAGGCGUAGGAGCAUUGAAAGGAUCUCUCCUUAGUACGAGAGGACCGGGAGGGACGUACCUCUGGUGUACCUGUUAUCGUGCCAACGGUAAACGCAGGGUAGCCAUGUACGGAGUGGAUAACCGCUGAAGGCAUCUAAGUGGGAAGCCCACCUUAAGAUGAGUGCUCCCUUGAGGCCACGGGAAGACGACCCGUUUGAUAGGCGCUAGGUGGAAGUGCAGUAAUGCAUGCAGCCGAGGCGUACUAAUAGGCCGAUGGCUUGUCC
RNAcentral lists this ribosomal RNA (1319 nucleotides) under metagenome. RNAcentral describes it as "bacterial LSU rRNA". It matches the Rfam family "Bacterial large subunit ribosomal RNA", at positions 1563 to 2925 of the family's 2925-position model. The record is from RNAcentral.